RNAcentral lists this ribosomal RNA (567 nucleotides) under uncultured bacterium. Its description in RNAcentral is "bacterial SSU rRNA". It matches the Rfam family "Bacterial small subunit ribosomal RNA", at positions 338 to 916 of the family's 1533-position model. The record is from RNAcentral.
CCUACGGGAGGCAGCAGUGAGGAAUUUUCUGCAAUGGGCGAAAGCCUGACAGAGCAAUACCGCGUGAGGGAUGAAGACUUACUGAGUUGUAAACCUCGGUGCCUUAAGGAAGAAGAUCUGACGGUACUUAAGGUGGAAAGCAUCGGCUAACUCCGUGCCAGCAGCCGCGGUAAGACGGGGGAUGCAAGUGUUAUCCGGAAUUACUGGGCGUAAAGCGUCUGCAGGUGGUUUUAUAAGUCUGCUGUUAAAUCUUGAGGCUCAACCUCAAAUCUGCAGUGGAAACUAUAAGACUUGAGUAUAGUAGGGGUAGAGGGAAUUUCCAGUGGAGCGGUGAAAUGCGUAGAUAUUGGAAAGAACACCGAUGGCGAAGGCACUCUACUGGGCUAUUACUGACACUCAGAGACGAAAGCUAGGGGAGCAAAUGGGAUUAGAUACCCCAGUAGUCCUAGCCGUAAACGAUGGAUACUCGAUGUUGGACGUAUCGACCCGUUCAGUAUCUUAGCUAACGCGUUAAGUAUCCCGCCUGGGGAGUACGCUCGCAAGAGUGAAACUUAAANGAAUUGACGG